Molecule: ribosomal RNA, 413 nt
Filed under: uncultured bacterium
Lineage: Bacteria
Description: bacterial SSU rRNA
Rfam family: Bacterial small subunit ribosomal RNA
Source: RNAcentral
CUGCCAGCCGCCGCGGUAAAACGUAGGGGGCAAGCGUUGUCCGGAAUUACUGGGCGUAAAGGGCGUGUAGGCGGCCCGAGAAGUCGAAAGUGAAAACACAGAGCUUAACUUUGUGCCUGCUUUCGAAACCAACGGGCUUGAGUACAGGAGAGGUAAGUGGAAUUCCCAGUGUAGCGGUGAAAUGCGUAGAUAUUGGGAGGAACACCAGUGGCGAAAGCGACUUACUGGCCUGAAACUGACGCUGAGGCGCGAAAGCGUGGGGAGCAAACAGGAUUAGAUACCCUGGUAGUCCACGCCGUAAACGAUGGGUGCUAAGUGUUGGGGGUAUCGACCCCUCCAGUGCUGUAGUUAACGCAAUAAGCACCCCGCCUGGGGAGUACGGUCGCAAGACUGAAACUCAAAUGAAUUGACGG